RNAcentral lists this transfer RNA (74 nucleotides) under Bos taurus (domestic cattle). It matches the Rfam family "tRNA". Rfam says of the family: Transfer RNA (tRNA) molecules are approximately 80 nucleotides in length. Their secondary structure includes four short double-helical elements and three loops (D, anti-codon, and T loops). RNAcentral also lists the same sequence under 4 other names. The record is from Rfam by way of RNAcentral. Lineage: Eukaryota; Metazoa; Chordata; Mammalia; Artiodactyla; Bovidae.
UCCAUGGUGGUCUAGUUGGCUGAGAUUCUGUGCUCCCAAGACAGAAGGCAUGGGUUCAAUCCCCAGCCAGUGAA